Long non-coding RNA from Triticum dicoccoides, 679 nucleotides. RefSeq lists it as uncharacterized. The transcript has 2 exons. Lineage: Eukaryota; Viridiplantae; Streptophyta; Magnoliopsida; Poales; Poaceae. The record is from RefSeq and is a predicted model, not a curated record.
CGCCGCCCUAGUCCAGCCGCUCCCGCCGCCUCUGGCUGGCCCCAUCCCGCCGCCGGCCCCACCCUCCGUCCUGCCCCGUUCGCCCCAUCCCGCAGCCGGCCGCCGGCCUCGUCGCCUCCGUUCGGCCCCGUCCGCCUCCAUCCCGACGCCGGACGCCGCCCCAGUAGCCUCCAUCCGCCCCCGUCCGCCUCCAUCCCUACGACGUCGCCACACCUGUCACCCCAUCCGCCGACCGCCGCACCUGUCACCCCCUCCCGUUCGUCCUCCGCCGGCGUCGCAAGAGAGAUGGAGUGUACAUGCAUGGUGCAGCUAAGCUAGCAUUACAGGCCACAGAUUUUGUUUCCUCUGAACCCAAGUUAACUGAAAUAGUCUAGCUAGCUUACUUGCAGUGCUGAAAGUCGCUCUUGCUUUACGCUGACUAAGCAACAGUUGCAUCGCCUCUCCUAAGCAAAGUCUAGGCUAACGGAUAGGAAUAGGAUGGUGAUGGAGCUUUCGAUGUGAUGAUGAGCGAGAGAAUCAUAAUACAUCAUUCGCAAAUAAAAAAUAAAUUAUUUUGUUGUCCGACUAUGAAUCUAAACUAUUUCAAUGUGAUAAUGAACUCUUCUUUUAUCCAAAAUAUUUUUGUUGUCCGACUAUGAAUCUAAACUCUUCAUUAAUCCAAACUCUUUUUGUUGUCCGA